CUUCUUUGGUGACUAGAGCUACUUGUACAGCAUGGCCACCAGAAGUUGUCGAUGCUCCACUUAUUUAUAUAUCCAUUGGAGAAAGCAGUAUUCUUUUUAAGGUACAUGAACAAGGUACUUUGCUAUCUAAAGAAAAGUUUAUCUGCAGUUACACUAGCUUCUGGAUUUAUGUACUGCCUGUUCAUACGUAAAACUUUCCGAUGGUGAGCUACUUUGGUUGAUACCGUUAAGAGGGUCUUCUGGUUUUUAGUAUGAGUAAGCCGUGAGUUUUGUGAUUGCUUCCUUUUGGAUGGCUCCUUGCACUUUCAUUUCGUUCACUUAGCAUGUGUUAAUCACUAUGAAAUUCAAUAUUUAAUUUCAUGAUUUGUAUACCUAAUGUGCUCCAUUAGUUUUCUAAGAUGAACCAGUGCUCCUUGAAUCUCAAAAUUUGAAAUACUUUCUACAUAAAGUCCGGCCAUCAUCUGGUUGUGGAAAUAUGAUGUCCCCUUUUUGGUGCAUAUUAGCAUUGGUUAAUGAUUGUCAGUGCUUCUACCAGUUGGACAAAAAAGUGUCAGGAGAACGGUUGUUAUAUGAGUUUGCUAAAGGGGGUCGAAAUUUUGAGAUAGUGAUGAUUUGACAAUUCUAGCUGAUAGGUACUUGAAAAUCUUGGUUUGUUAAUGUAAAUUACAACCAAAAAUGAACAGUCUCAACAAGAGACCAUAAUCAGACUAUUUGAAGCAUAUCUUUCAAAUUGCAGUUUGUCUUGAUUGGUCUAUUAAAUUUGCCAGAACUUACGGUAUUAUUUUCAUGUUUUUCUCCAGAUGAAAACAUGGCAACUUCCUUCACUGGACUAUUCAUGUUCAUCACUUUGGUCAAGUAUGUUCUGAUCAUAUUACCAGAUGAUGUGUAUUCAUUGUUUUCAUUCUCUUGUAGUCAUCAGCUUCCUCUUAGUAUAUCUUCUUGGCAAAUGGUUGUUGCACUUCCUUCACGUCUUCAGCUUUUGGUUAUUAAUCUACAUGGUAGGGGUCGAUGCCAAACCUCCCGUCAUUACAAGACGGCUUUAAAUAAAUAAAAAAAAUGGUUGUUGCACUGCUUCGUUUUGUUCUUUCCCUUUAUUAUAGGGUAAUGAGCUAAUUAAGGCCAUGUAUUUCCCAUUCUCAUCUCAGAGUGAGAAAAGAAAUACAAGGUAGUGCACGUAUCUUGGAAAAUCUUUUAACUGAAGUUUUUCGCUUGAUUCUUCUGUCACACACACUCACAAAAAUAUUUGUUUACACGUUACGCGUACACCACAAUUCUUUCUUUUUUGGUUACAAAGACGUGCGUUACUUGUAAAUGGGAGCUCCAGGAGAAAAAAAGUAAAACAUGGUAUGGCGUUGUUCUCUUGGAUAUUGUUUUCCUAUUUCAAGUGUGCCCAAAAUUAUUCUAAACAACAUCUUAGGACUUCAGCUUCCAAGUUUUUAGGUGUCUCUACUGUAUGUAUACUAAUUAUAACCUUUUUCUUCAUUUAGAGAAGAAAUUGCCACUUCAUAUGUAGUGAAAAUGCAGAACCUAGCUUCUCAUCUAUCGCAACUGUUUCCGCUGUCCACACUCCUGUCUCUACAAUUAGCAUCCACAGGGAAGAUGUAAAGCUAAUACUACUGCAGCAAUUGAUAAUGAAAUUGAUUUGGUUGAUGAGUUGGAACAUAUGUUUAUACUUUCUGAAGAAAAGGGGAACCCUUGCAAUUACUUGGUUAGUCUGUCUUGCUAGGCAUGCAGGUAUAUAGGACAGUGCUGUCAAAGGAAAGAUCAAGGUACUUAGUAUUUUGCCUCAUCUGAUGUUGUUUCAAAAAAUUUCAUUACCUCUCUUAUAUAGGCAGAAUAUUUUGCACUGGGCUAUAUUACUGUUGGAGAGAGUUGCUAUAUUGGAAAUGUCUGAUAAACCAGUUGCAUUUACGAGGAAGAAACUUAAUCCUAUUUCUAGUGGGGAUGUCAUUUUUGUAUUGCGUUUACUUCUUGUCCUUGCAAUUAAUCUUCAUGCUUUUAGUUAAGAAUCUACUAACCUUGUGCCAUUCACAACAGUGUUAUCAAAGACUCGCUUAAACUUCUAAGAGAUACACAGCUCAGAUUGGGAGCUCCGUGUCACUUAGGUGGUGCUUCGAUGAAGAAGCUAAGGUGCAAGAGAGUGCACCUUCAGGAAAAUCCGCCGACUAACAGUUACAAAGAAAAGGUUAACUUAUGAGGUGCAUAGUGUCUAUCUCGAGGAGGACGAGAGAGAUGAAUGACAGGCGAACACUAUAUUAAUUGUUAAGAGAACAUUUUGGGUAACUAUGUUUGUAAUAAAGAUAUACAAAACUAGUCAAUUGAUUUGAAUCGGUAACUUAUAAGCUUUUGUGUCCACAUUUAUUUUUUCUUGGGUUAUACGUCUUUUUUUAUUUUCCUUAAUUAUGUACCUUUCUAACUUUAUAAGGUAGUGGUAAGGUGCGCAUGCACACUAACCUUCCCAGACCCACUUAUGGAUUAUAAUGGGUUUUUUUUUGUUGUUGUUGUUUCAUUAUGCACCUUCUUUCAGUAAGGUUUCAAUGUAAAGGAAGGAGUAAACAUGAAGUUUCUGAGUCUAUAUCGAUGAUGGAAGCCUUCUGAGAUACUAUUUGAUCAUGAUAUGACUUGGUCAAGAUUGGACUUAAUGAAACACGUAGAGUUUGAUCCUUUGUUCAACUGUUUAUGACUUCAACUUGUGCAGAGUAAUAGGUUUUUCUCCUGUAGAGGUAACCACUGCUGCUGCUUCUGUGGCAAACGUGUCAUUGUACCCGAGGAAGACCUUGAGACUUUUUUGGAAACUGUUGCUGAAUUUUGAGGUAAUUCCCUGUUGUUCUUUAUGGAACUUUUCUUUAUAGAAUUGCUAAUAGAGUUUCAUGCUUCACGUUGUUAUUGCACCUAAGCUGUUAUAUGGAGAACCUAAUGCAAGAACAUCGUAUGCUGAAUAGUGAAAUUGAUCUUCUCUAUAGAACCAUAAACUAGCAAUAUUUUACAUUUGCAAUAUUAUAUGUUUAUUUAUGGGAAAAGGGCCAAGAUAUAUUGUUCACAUUUAUCCUCCGUUAUAAUAUCGGGUCAAAUCUACCCUCAUCGUUAGCAAAGUUUUCAAAUUUGCCCUCUAAUCUAACGAAAAGCCCCCAAAUCUCAAAUUCCUUCUAUUUACUACAAUUUUUUCUCACAAAUAACUUAUCUCCGCGUGUGCUCUAUCAGAUAAGAAAAUAUCCUCGACAAGCUGAUUUCUUAUUCCACUUGAUUAUUUAGAGCAGGAAGACUUGACAAACUUGCCACCUCCAGACAUGAGAACACUAGUAAAUAUUCCUUUGAAAGAAUGUUCGACAUAAAUUUAAACAAAUCAUUUAAUUUAGGAUUUCUCAAACAAUACUAAAGAAUUAUUUGUCACAAAUUUCAUGCAGAAGUGCUUGCGCAAGCAAAAUUUGCAUCAAAUAACAUGCUAAAUCCAAAUCCGAAAGGGAAUGCAUUUACAUGGAUACCUACGGCCUUGUUAUGCUUGUAGUCCAUAAAAAAUAGUAAAUAUUAGUAACUUCAUAAGCGAAUGCAUUUCGACCACCUGAAGAAUCAAAUAAAUCUCUUCCAAAUUAUCUACGGUAUUUCACUCAUCCUCAUUCCGUUAGAGACAUACCCAUAAACUGUGAAUUUUGCGUUUCAUUUAUGGUUUGAGCAUAACCAAAGACAAGGGGAAUAAUUAUGCUGUAACUCCACACUCCCAUUUCUAUAAUAUGAACCUUUUUUCUUCUCUGAUGGAUCACACGUAGGAGAAGACUGAUUUGUGAGAAGAAUUGCGGUAAAUAGAAGGGAUUUGGGGCUUUCCGUUUGGUUAGAAGGCAAAUUUGAAAACUUUGCUAACGGUGAGGGUAGAUUUGAUCCGAUAGUAUAACGGAGAUAAAUAUGAACAGUAGAGGGGUAUAUUUGGCCCUUUUCCCUUUAUUUAUUGACUUACAUUUGUGUGCACCAUAAGAAGUAUGACAAAAGGCUCUAAAGAAUCAAUCACUGGCUUUAAAUGGAAACGAUUGGAAGCAGUCUUCGUUGCAGACUUUGCAUUGAAGAAAUACCGGACAAAGUGACUUGGUGCAGACUAACGUAAGAGUUUCCAAAUCAAGAUAAAUAGCAAUCAGUUCAUUCACCAUCAACAAUCUGAAGUAAGUUACAGGAGUGAACUGCAUUAGAAGGUAUCUGCCAAGACAACAGUUGUUUUUUUAAUUCAAUUGUCAGCCUCUUUUUUCCACCUUGUUUUCGUUUUCGUUUUGUUUCUUUCAUCUUC
RNAcentral lists this long non-coding RNA (4270 nucleotides) under Nicotiana tabacum (common tobacco). Its description in RNAcentral is "long non-coding RNA (NTAB_LNC018482)". Lineage: Eukaryota; Viridiplantae; Streptophyta; Magnoliopsida; Solanales; Solanaceae. The record is from RNAcentral.